RNAcentral lists this long non-coding RNA (259 nucleotides) under Trifolium pratense (red clover). Its description in RNAcentral is "long non-coding RNA (TPRA_LNC004333)". Lineage: Eukaryota; Viridiplantae; Streptophyta; Magnoliopsida; Fabales; Fabaceae. The record is from RNAcentral.
AUAAAGCUCUUCAUUUACUAUGUAGAACACUAUCCAACAUACUUCAUCAUUAAGAUUUAACAAAACCUUAAUAUUCUUCAUUUAUACUUCAUACAUGAUUAACAAUCAAUUAAAGAUUAGCAAUGAGCAUUAUAAGCAUCAACAUGCAUCAACAAUCAUGUAAGAAUACCAUUAUCAUGAAGAAUAAGACACUGAUUUGAAACUACAUGCAAAGGAAGAUAGCAGAUGAAAAUUUGUGAAAUCUGCAGUAUUUUCGCCU